This 450-nucleotide ribosomal RNA is filed under the name uncultured bacterium. RNAcentral describes it as "partial 16S ribosomal RNA". It matches the Rfam family "Bacterial small subunit ribosomal RNA", at positions 354 to 796 of the family's 1533-position model. The record is from RNAcentral.
GUGGGGAAUUUUGGACAAUGGGCGCAAGCCUGAUCCAGCAAUGCCGCGUGCAGGAAGAAGGCCUUCGGGUUGUAAACUGCUUUUGUACGGAACGAAACGGUCCUGGCUAAUACCCGGGGCUAAUGACGGUACCGUAAGAAUAAGCACCGGCUAACUACGUGCCAGCAGCCGCGGUAAUACGUAGGGUGCGAGCGUUAAUCGGAAUUACUGGGCGUAAAGCGUGCGCAGGCGGUGCUGUAAGACAGGCGUGACAUCCCCGGGCUCAACCUGGGAAUUGCGCUUGUGACUGCAGUGCUGGAGUGCGGCAGAGGGGGAUGGAAUUCCGCGUGUAGCAGUGAAAUGCGUAGAUAUGCGGAGGAACACCGAUGGCGAAGGCAAUCCCCUGGGCCUGCACUGACGCUCAUGCACGAAAGCGUGGGGAGCAAACAGGAUUAGAAACCCUUGUAGUCC